AAUGAACGCUGGCGGCGUGCUUAACACAUGCAAGUCGAACGAGAACGCCUCAGCUUGCUGAGGCAAGUAAAGUGGCGCACGGGUGAGUAACGCGUGGGUAAUCUACCUCCGAAUUGGGGAUAACAUUGCGAAAGCGGUGCUAAUACCGAAUAAUAUCCUCAAGACUCAGGUUUUGAGGACCAAAGGUGGCCUCUACAUGUAAGCUACUGUUUGGAGAUGAGCCCGCGUACCAUUAGCUUGUUGGUGGGUAACGGCCUACCAAGGCUGCGAUGGUUAGCUGGUCUGAGAGGAUGAUCAGCCACACUGGAACUGACACACGGUCCAGACUCCUACGGGAGGCAGCAGUGAGGAAUUUUGCGCAAUGGGGGAAACCCUGACGCAGCAACGCCGCGUGAGUGAUGAAGGCC
This 407-nucleotide ribosomal RNA is filed under the name uncultured bacterium. RNAcentral describes it as "bacterial SSU rRNA". It matches the Rfam family "Bacterial small subunit ribosomal RNA", at positions 29 to 416 of the family's 1533-position model. The record is from RNAcentral.